This 1411-nucleotide ribosomal RNA is filed under the name uncultured Bacilli bacterium. RNAcentral describes it as "bacterial SSU rRNA". It matches the Rfam family "Bacterial small subunit ribosomal RNA", at positions 29 to 1398 of the family's 1533-position model. Lineage: Bacteria; Bacillati; Bacillota; Bacilli. The record is from RNAcentral.
ACGAACGCUGGCGGCGUGCCUAAUACAUGCAAGUCGAACGAGCUCUCCUAAAUUGAUUUUAUGCUUGCAUAAAUGAUUUUUAGAUUCGGAGCGAGUGGCGAACUGGUGAGUAACACGUGGGUAACCUGCCCCGAAGCGGGGGAUAACAUUUGGAAACAAAUGCUAAUACCGCAUAAUUAGUUGGAACCGCAUGGUUCCAACUUGAAAGAUGGCUCUGCUAUCACUUUGGGAUGGACCCGCGCCGUAUUAGUUAGUUGGUGAGAUAAAAGCCCACCAAGACGAUGAUACGUAGCCGACCUGAGAGGGUAAUCGGCCACAUUGGGACUGAGACACGGCCCAGACUCCUACGGGAGGCAGCAGUAGGGAAUCUUCCACAAUGGACGAAAGUCUGAUGGAGCAACGCCGCGUGAGUGAUGAAGGUUUUCGGAUCGUAAAACUCUGUUGUUAAAGAAGAACAAGUGUUAGAGUAACUGUUAACACUUUGACGGUAUUUAACCAGAAAGCCACGGCUAACUACGUGCCAGCAGCCGCGGUAAUACGUAGGUGGCAAGCGUUGUCCGGAUUUAUUGGGCGUAAAGCGAGCGCAGGCGGUUUUGUAAGUCUGCUGUGAAAGCCCUCAGCUCAACUGAGGAAGUGCAGUGGAAACUACAAAACUUGAGUACAGAAGAGGAAAGUGGAACUCCAUGUGUAGCGGUGAAAUGCGUAGAUAUAUGGGAAGAACACCAGUGGCGAAGGCGGCUUUCUGGUCUGUUACUGACGCUGAGGCUCGAAAGCAUGGGUAGCGAACAGGAUUAGAUACCCUGGUAGUCCAUGCCGUAAACGAUGAAUACUAGGUGUUGGAGGGUUUCCGCCCUUCAGUGCCGCAGCUAACGCAUUAAGUAUUCCGCCUGGGGAGUACGACCGCAAGGUUGAAACUCAAAGGAAUUGACGGGGGCCCGCACAAGUGGUGGAGCAUGUGGUUUAAUUCGAUGCUACGCGAAGAACCUUACCAGCUCUUGACAUCUUCUGCCAACCCAAGAGAUUGGGCGUUCCCUUCGGGGACAGAAUGACAGGUGGUGCAUGGUUGUCGUCAGCUCGUGUCGUGAGAUGUUGGGUUAAGUCCCGCAACGAGCGCAACCCUUAUUAUUAGUUGCCAGCAUUUAGUUGGGCACUCUAGUGAGACUGCCGGUGAUAAACCGGAGGAAGGUGGGGACGACGUCAAAUCAUCAUGCCCCUUAUGAGCUGGGCUACACACGUGCUACAAUGGAUGGUACAACGAGUCGCGAAACCGCGAGGUCAAGCUAAUCUCUUAAAGCCAUUCUCAGUUCGGAUUGCAGGCUGCAACUCGCCUGCAUGAAGUUGGAAUCACUAGUAAUCGUGGAUCAGCAUGCCACGGUGAAUACGUUCCCGGGCCUUGUACACACCGCCCGUC